Podarcis lilfordi (Lilford's wall lizard) is the source of this 69-nucleotide non-coding RNA. NCBI's taxonomy places the organism in Eukaryota, Metazoa, Chordata, Lepidosauria, Squamata, Lacertidae. The record is from the annotation of a GenBank genome assembly.
GCUGUAGCUAAAUGGUAGAACAUCUGUCUUGCACGCAGAAGGUCCCAGGUUCAGUCCCCAGCAUAUCCA